Molecule: ribosomal RNA, 392 nt
Filed under: uncultured bacterium
Lineage: Bacteria
Description: bacterial SSU rRNA
Rfam family: Bacterial small subunit ribosomal RNA
Source: RNAcentral
AUUGAACGCUGGCGGCAUGCCUUACACAUGCAAGUCGAACGGCAGCACGGGAGCAAUCCUGGUGGCGAGUGGCGAACGGGUGAGUAAUACAUCGGAACGUGCCCAGUAGUGGGGAUAACCCGGCGAAAGCCGGACUAAUACCGCAUACGACCUACGGGUGAAAGCAGGGGAUCGCAAGACCUUGCGCUAUCGGAGCGGCCGAUGUCAGAUUAGCUUGUUGGCGGGGUAAAAGACCCACCAAGGCGACGAUCUGUAGCUGGUCUGAGAGGACGACCAGCCACACUGGGACUGAGACACGGCCCACGACUCCUACGGGAGGCAGCAGUGGGGAAGUUUGGUACAAUGGCGCAAGCCUGAUCAGCCAUUCCGCGUGCAGGAUGAAGGCCCUCGGG